UGUCCUCAUUUUCAAUUAUAUUUGCUAUUUUAAUUGUUGGGUGCUCACAGCCAAUAUGAAAAUAUGAACAUGAAAUGUUUUUUCUACAAAUUUUACUUUUCCUCCACUUUUAGUCAAAGUUUCUAGAGCUAGCAACCCAGUGUCUUGCUAAGGGAGCCGAUUUGGCAAGAGGGAAUGAGAAAGCUGCUUACUGAGCAAACCUUUUAUUAUUGAAUCAUGAUUUAGAACGACACUUGAAAUUGGAAUCUAAAACCUCCAGCUCUUUAUGUUUUCUAAGUUAAGUGGAGUUUAGGCUAACCGGAAAUACAUAUUUAUGGUAUGAUUUAAAUGAUUAUGUGUUUUUGCCGUACGCCAUGUCGGAGUGCAAAAAACCUGGCGACUUUCUGUUUUUGCUGUACGGCAAGUACGGCGCAAAUGACAACUGCCCGCGCACAUUUUUAUCGGUGGUGUUUUGAUUAUAUUAAAUUAAAAUUUUCAAAUCUAAUCUAGAUCAAAUUUUAUUAUUUCAAAAAUAAAUGGAAUUUAAAUUAA
Long non-coding RNA from Anastrepha ludens (Mexican fruit fly), 531 nucleotides. RefSeq lists it as uncharacterized. The transcript is spliced from 2 exons. The record is from RefSeq and is a predicted model, not a curated record. NCBI's taxonomy places the organism in Eukaryota, Metazoa, Arthropoda, Insecta, Diptera, Tephritidae.